This is a non-coding RNA of Lactuca sativa (garden lettuce), 1586 nucleotides long. The record is from RefSeq and is a predicted model, not a curated record. Lineage: Eukaryota; Viridiplantae; Streptophyta; Magnoliopsida; Asterales; Asteraceae.
CAGGGGGUCCCCGUGGCAGUUAAGACCAUGUAGGGGUUCCCAUGGCAGUUAAGACCAUGUGGGGGUUCUCAUGGCAGGUAGUAAGACCAUGUGGGGUUCCCAUGGCAGUGGGCUAAGACCACGCAGGGGUUCCAGUGGCACCUGGAGUAAAACCCUGGAGGGUUUCCAGGGCAUCCCUAUUUUCUUAUAUGAAGGACUUGUGCAGUUGAUACUGUUUAUGUGAUUAUGUGUAUAAGACCUUGGAGGGUUUCCAUGGCACCCCAUAUGUUUGUAUACAUGGAUAUGUGAUAUGUGUAGCUUAUACAACUAAUAUGGAUUAUGUGAUAAUCUGGAUUAUGUGGGGUAAGCUCUUGCUAACUCACUAAGCUUCGUGCUUACAGUUUUGUUUAUGGUUUCAGGUAUCAUCAGUUUGGAAAGGAAGGGCUCGGCUUGAUAGCAGCGUACACACCCGUGUUUUCCGCAUUAUGUGAUUUUGGGACAUAUUUCUGAUAAAUGUUUCAAUUAAGUAAUGUUUUGAAUGAUUGAAUGAAGUAACAUUUGUGUUUCGACUAAAUAAAAAUGAAAUUUUUACCCUUGAUUUUUGGGUCGUUACAUCGCACAGUGGAGCCUAUGGAGCAGCAGGCUCGACAUGUUAUGCUUGUGGCCAGCCAGGCCACAUGAGUAGGAAUUGCCCCAAGAAGGGCUUGAUUUGUUUCCAAUGCAAGCGGACCGGUCAUAAAAAGUCCGAUUGUCCGAGUUUGGUUAGAGGAGGAAGAGCAGUGGCGGUGCUUGCACUCGCCAUAGUGGUGAGGAUUACAGAUGGCUACCCGGUCAAGGCGGAAGCUCCUACGGUGAAGAGUAGCGCAUUUCAUCUGACUACAGAGGAGGCCCGAGUAGCGCCAGACGUCAUGACUGGGGCUACCCAAUCAUUUGUAUCUCUUGCGCUCAGCAAGAAGUUUCAAGAUACUCUGGGGAGUUUGGAUUCCUGAUAGUUUCAUAUUUAUACACAUUUCUAGCCAAGAGUGGACAUUAUUGAAGAAAAUGAUUGAAACCGAGAAAAGUUAGAUACUUGGAGGACUGGAUCUGAAAAAGAUACAAAAAGGAUGUUUUUAGACAGUUUGACCCCUCUUCGGUAUUUUGACCAUAUCUCAUGACUCGUAACUCCGAUUGGUGAGAUUCAAAAUGAUCUGAAAACUAGACAAAAUUUCGGACGACUUUAGUUUUCAUGCCAAAUGCUAAUUCCAAGUUCUCACAACGUGAGGAGUAUCAUCUCACGACGUGAGAUUGAUUCUUCUGAAGAUAGCUACGCGGAAUGCAGUUUCCUUGCCAAAGAUGAAUUCUAUUGAUCUCACGACGUGAGACACUAAUUCUCACGACAUGAGACACGAUUUUUGAAAACUAUAAAUAUCCCUUAGCAUAUCAACUUUGAGGGGUUGGAUAUGAUUUUCUGUAGUUAUAAUCGAGCUUAGAGGUCAGAAAAGUGCGAAAAACACCUUUUGGAAGGAGUGAUUGUUUGAAGAUCGAAAAUUUGAAGAUUAGAACACUACAUUCGGUUUGCAUUAGUUUAAUUAUGUCAAGUUAUUAUGAACUUGUGUGUUUACUUUUAG